UUGCUGCACUGUAACCCUUAAAAUUGGUCUUUGUUUAUGUUUCAUUUCCUAUUGGAGAAGUUGAGAUUGAGUCAUUUGAGUGGGCUUAAAACUUCUAAUUGAUGUUGAUAUGCAAGGCUAAGUAUAAUUCUUAAAACUUCUUCAUGAGAUUGAUUACAUUCAUUUCAUGCAUUCUAUAAGGCAUCAAAUCCAAGAUUUUACAGUGAUCCUGGUGUCAAAGAGGAGAAGGCUUUCAAAUCUUGUAGUUAGUCUUCAAGUAAUUGUUUUUACCAUUUUAUUUUAAGAUGCCAAAUGCUCUAGACGACAAAUGCAUUGUAUUCUUGAAAUUGCUUGCAGAAAAAUCAUAUUCUUUAAAGAAGUUGCAGAACAGUUAUGCCUUUCGCCAACAAAUCAGAGAAUGCAAGGUUCUAUAACAGAGAAAUUAUAUUGGACUGAUGUUUUUCAACUUGGAGUACAUGGAGGCUAAGGCUGUACUGCCCAUUUGUCUUUUAGAAUUUGGGAGUCAUUACAAUUUAUAUAUGGUAAAUCCUCCAACUCUCCAAGAAGGGAAAAAUGGAAUUUGCAAACAGUAUCUUGGGUGAUGGUGAUUUCCUACAUCUCA
Long non-coding RNA from Ipomoea triloba (trilobed morning glory), 601 nucleotides. RefSeq lists it as uncharacterized. Lineage: Eukaryota; Viridiplantae; Streptophyta; Magnoliopsida; Solanales; Convolvulaceae. The record is from RefSeq and is a predicted model, not a curated record. The transcript is spliced from 3 exons.